Molecule: ribosomal RNA, 277 nt
Filed under: uncultured bacterium
Lineage: Bacteria
Description: partial 16S ribosomal RNA
Rfam family: Bacterial small subunit ribosomal RNA
Source: RNAcentral
UGGAAGCUUAGCUGAAGUGUACGUCGUUAGUAGCGGACGGGUGAGUAAUGCAUGAGAACCUGCCCUCGGGAGGGGGACAACAGUUGGAAACGGCUGCUAAUACCCCGUAUGCCGAAAGGUGAAAGGGAGCGAUUCCCCCCAUGAAGGGGUUCUGGCCUUUCCACUGGGUUGGGGGGGAACGGGCUCCCCAGGGCAACAACGGGAAGCCGGCCGGAAAGGGGGAACGGCCCCCCGGAACUGAAAUCACGGCCCGAACCCCUCCGGAAGGAACCAUGGG